GGGAGAGUGACGACUCAAAAUGACUUCCUUGACAGUCCUGUUCCCCUUUCAUCAAUGCACAGACCCAGAAGAUCCCUCUGUCCUGCAGCACCUGCCAUGAGCAUCGGCCUCCUGUGCUGUGCGGCCUUUUCUCUCUUGGGGGCAGGUCCUGCAAAUGCUGGUGUCACUCAGAGCCCAAAAUUCCAGAUCCUGAAGACAGGACAGAGCCUGACACUGCAGUGUGCCCAGGAUAUGAACCAUGACUCCAUGUACUGGUAUCGACAAGACCCAGGGAUGGGGCUGAGGCUGAUUCAUUACUCAGCUACCGAGGAUACCACUGACAAAGGAGAAGUCCCCGAUGGCUACAAUGUCUCCAGAUUAAACAAAAAGGAUUUCCGGCUCAGGCUGGAGUCGGCUGCUCCCUCCCAGACAUCUGUGUACUUCUGUGCCAGCAGUGAAGCCACAACAGGUUUCUAUGACUACACCUUCGGUUCAGGGACCAAGUUAACCGUUGUAGAGGACCUGAAAAAGGUGUUCCCACCCAAGGUCGCUGUGUUUGAGCCAUCAGAAGCAGAGAUCUCCCACACCCAAAAGGCCACGCUGGUGUGCCUGGCCACAGGCUUCUACCCCGACCACGUGGAGCUGAGCUGGUGGGUGAACGGGAAAGAGGUGCACAGUGGGGUCAGCACAGACCCACAGCCCCUCAAGGAGCAGCCCGCCCUCAACGACUCCAGAUACUGCCUGAGCAGCCGCUUGAGGGUCUCGGCCACCUUCUGGCACAACCCCCGCAACCACUUCCGCUGCCAAGUCCAGUUCUAUGGGCUCUCGGAGGAUGACGAGUGGACCGAGGACAGAGACAAGCCCAUCACCCAGAAGAUCAGCGCCGAGGCCUGGGGUAGAGCAGACUGUGGCUUCACCUCGGUGUCCUACCAGCAAGGGGUCCUGUCUGCCACCAUCCUCUAUGAGAUCCUGCUGGGGAAGGCCACCCUGUAUGCUGUGCUGGUCAGUGCCCUCGUGUUGAUGGCCAUGGUCAAGAGGAAGGAUUUCUGAAGGCAGCCCUGGAAGUGAAAUUAGGAGCUUCUAAAUCGUCAUGAUUUCAAUAUACAUUCUUCUUUUGCCAGUGCUUCUGAAGAGCUGCUGUCACCUCUCUGCACCCCAGUAGAUACCCCCUAUGUGCAUGCACACCUGCACACUCACGGAUGAAACCUCCCUAACCCAGGGGCACCUUAGCAUUCCUAAGUGACUAAGCCAAUAAAAAUGCUCUGAUCUGGCCUGA
Non-coding RNA from Piliocolobus tephrosceles (Ugandan red Colobus), 1255 nucleotides. NCBI's taxonomy places the organism in Eukaryota, Metazoa, Chordata, Mammalia, Primates, Cercopithecidae. The record is from the annotation of a RefSeq genome assembly.